GGGAGGAAAUGGGUUCAGUCAGCCAGGAAGACACACCUCCCACUUUUGGUGGCAGCAGUGGGAUCCAAAGGAGACAUCUGAUGGCUUAGGGGAUGAGAAACACAGGCAUUGGUACCUGCAAAACUUUUGAGUUCUCCAUCUUUGUCACUGAUUCUGAGAGCCGUGGAGUCAGCUCCAGAGUUUCAGCCAGCAGCAGAAGCAGAGCUGUGGGCAGUGGUGGAGGUAGAGCUGGCUCCAGCUCCGUUGACACCACACCCUCUAGCACUGGAGCCAGUGUCCCCUCUACCAGCAGUGUUGGAGGUGGAGCAAGGGCCAACAUGGGCUCCAGCAGGAGUGGGAGCUGCUGAGUUGGAGUCACCUGGACCAUCAUUUCUAGUGGGAAGUCCAUCUCCACCUGUGGCUAAGAUGUGUGAGAAGAAGCCCAACCUACGGCCUUCCCUCCUAAGCUGGUGGUGGAGCAGUUGAUCGUGAUGGAUGCAAGCGUAGAGGUGGACACUAACAGG
Molecule: long non-coding RNA, 503 nt
Organism: Diceros bicornis minor
Lineage: Eukaryota; Metazoa; Chordata; Mammalia; Perissodactyla; Rhinocerotidae
Exons: 4
Source: RefSeq, a predicted model, not a curated record